Molecule: transfer RNA, 77 nt
Filed under: Firmicutes bacterium ADurb.Bin099
Lineage: Bacteria; Bacillati; Bacillota
Also listed under: 1 other name
Description: tRNA-Asn
Rfam family: tRNA
About the family: Transfer RNA (tRNA) molecules are approximately 80 nucleotides in length. Their secondary structure includes four short double-helical elements and three loops (D, anti-codon, and T loops).
Source: RNAcentral
UCCUCCUUAGCUCAGCAAGGUAGAGCAUGCGGCUGUUAACCGCAGGGUCGUCCGUUCGAGCCGGACAGGGGGAGCCA